CCUACGGGAGGCAGCAGUGAGGAAUAUUGGUCAAUGGGCGCGAGCCUGAACCAGCCAAGUAGCGUGAAGGAUUACUGCCCUACGGGUUGUAAACUUCUUUUAUAAAGGAAUAAAGUGAGGCACGUGUGCCUUUUUGUAUGUACUUUAUGAAUAAGGAUCGGCUAACUCCGUGCCAGCAGCCGCGGUAAUACGGAGGUUCCGAGCGUUAUCCGGAUUUCUUGGGUUUCAAGGGAGCGUAGAUGGGUUGUUACGUCAGUUGUGAAAGUUUGCGGCUCAACCGUAAAAUUGCAAUUGAUACUGGCAGCCUUGAGUACAGUUGAGGUAGGCGGAAUUCGUGGUGUAGCGGUGCCAUGCUUAGCUUUCACGAAGAACUCCGAUUGCGCCGGCAGCCUACUCAACUGCCCCUGACAUUGAUGCUCGAAAGUGUGGGUAUCAAACAGGAUUAGAUACCCCUGUAGUC
This 460-nucleotide ribosomal RNA is filed under the name uncultured bacterium. Its description in RNAcentral is "partial 16S ribosomal RNA". It matches the Rfam family "Bacterial small subunit ribosomal RNA", at positions 338 to 795 of the family's 1533-position model. The record is from RNAcentral.